GGGUCAGUGGCACAAUGGAUAAUGUGUUUGACUAUAAAUCUGAAGAUUGUAGGUUCGACUCCUGGCUGGCUUG
Albula glossodonta (roundjaw bonefish) is the source of this 73-nucleotide non-coding RNA. NCBI's taxonomy places the organism in Eukaryota, Metazoa, Chordata, Actinopteri, Albuliformes, Albulidae. The record is from the annotation of a GenBank genome assembly.